RNAcentral lists this long non-coding RNA (6308 nucleotides) under Xyrichtys novacula (pearly razorfish). The record is from RNAcentral. Lineage: Eukaryota; Metazoa; Chordata; Actinopteri; Labriformes; Labridae.
GGUUAGGGUUAGGGGUCAGGGCUAGGGCCAGAGAGGUCAGGGUUAGGGCUAGGGUUAGGGUUAGGGCUUGAUCCCCGGGGUUAGGGUUAGGGUUAGGGAUAGGGUUAGGGUUAGAUUUGAUCCCGAGGGUUAGGGUUAGGGUUAGGGAUAGGGUUAGGGUUAGAUUUAAUCCCCGAGGGUUAGGGUUAGGGUUAGGGAUAGGGUUAGGGUUAGAUUUAAUCCCCGAGGGUUAGGGUUAGGGUUAAGAUUCUGGUUAGGCGUUAGUUUAGGGCUAGGGGUCAGUGGUUAGGGGUCAGGGGCUAGUGAUUAGGGGUUGGUGGUUAGUGAUUAGGGGUCAGGGUUAGGCAUUGGAGCCCCUAAUCACACGUAGAUGUAUUUAGCUGUUGUUCCCGUCCAGUGCAUGUGGUCCACUUCUGACAGAAACCUGUCUCCUUUCUAGAGAGUCGACGUGUGGCCAAGCUCCAGUAUGCCACAUUCUUGUCUGUGUUAAUGUGUCUUUUUGUUUUGUAUGUUACAGGUUUUGGGGAGAGGGAGACUUUCCCUCCAAAGAGUCCAGAAACUCCCUGUCCAGCUUAGACAUGAAGUUCUGUUGUGGAGACAGAACAGGAGUUGUCUCCAGCUCCGUGUCUUGGUUUUCCCCUAUGUGUGAGUACUGUUUUGUAUUGUUUGUAGGUGUUUGUUUCUCCUCUUGUUUGUUAUGUUGUGGUUCUGUGUGUGGUGUGUGGAGUGGAGUCUGAGGUGUUUUGGUUUGUUGUGGUGUUUUUUGUUGUUGUUGUUGUGGUGGUGUUUUGUUUUGUUGUUGUUGUUGUGCUUGUGCUGACUGUGUGUUUUGUUGUGGUGUCUGCUUUAUGUUUACAGGUUUGUCCACAAUUUGUGGACCAUCAUUUUGCUGUUUUUCCUGUGCAGCAACAGGCUCAGAAGGGGCUGCCUGUCUGUCCUGUGCUGCAUCAGGCUUCACACAAGAGGCUAUCAGAGCCUCCGCGUGGUCAAUAACCUCCUGAUUUAUACGAGGCAAGUUCUUUCGAGCCCAUCUUGUGGCCACAGUGAAGGCGCUCUUCCACUCUUGAGGUGGCUCUUUUGAAAGAUCUGCCUUUAUUUUCUCCAGCUCAGCGGUGUAGUGGUCCUGGAGAAUGAGUAGUGUAGUGUGGCCCCAGUUUUUUGCAUUUGCCAUGAUCAAAUCCAGCGUGUAGGUUGUUGGAUUUGCUGGUUUGAUCAUGGCUGCCAAAUUAUCCACCAUACGUGCUAUCAUUUUUGGAUCCUGUUUUUCAGGUCCUGGGGUCACAUUUUGUAGGUGGUGUACCAUUUUAAUGACAGUGUGUAAUUUUCUGACCCUUUGUCCAAAUUGUGGGUCAUGUACUGGUGCUUGAUGAGUACUUGGAUCCGGCAGGGAUCUGCUCUGCUGUGUGUUUUUUUGGUGGUAAUAAGGGCGUCUUUGAGGAAAUCCCCCCUGGUUACGGGUGGGGUUUCCCUGGUGUAGCACAGAUGCAUAGGACCCUGAUUGAGGUCCCCAAAAUUUGGGUUGAUAAUCAGGAGGAGGUCCAGGUCUGCGGGGACGUGAGGGAGCAGAGAACCGUGGGGGAGGCACAGGCCGGUUAGGUUUAUGGAUAAAGGGGGACUGUCUCCUAGAAUAGGAGACAGUAGGUGCACGGUCCAUCCCCCUGUUCCCCGUCCCCCACGACCCCGUUUGAUACUGCUGAUUAGUGCGAUACGGGCGUUGACCACGCCUUCUCCCGUAUCGCACUUCAGUCCAUUGUUCUUGGUCGUAGGUCAUGAUUGUUGUUUUAACCUUUUUAAUUAUUUAUUGUUAUUUAUUAAUGUGGUGUAUUUAUGAGACUAUUUAUUUAUUUAUUGGUCUAUCUAUCGAUCUUUUUAAACAAAACCUGUAUCAAAUGAAUUGUUAUUUAUUUUUUUAUGCUUUUUUUUGUUUUUUGUGAAAUAAAAAUGAAAUAAAAUGAAAUAAAAGUGAGAAAACUAAAUAAAAUGUGUAUCAAAAUGAAGAAUAAGUGCCCAGUCGCGACGUUUCGACCGCUGUGGGUCUUCUUCAGGCUAUGGGCACAAAAUAAAAUAUGUCUGGGCUUGUCUGGGCUUGUCUGGGCUUGUUUGAGUCUGUUGGUGAGAUGCUUUCUCUUCAAGAGACAUAUGAGAAGUGGGAGGCUGAACUCUGUGUGCGUGAGUUUUUUAUAGGGGCGUGGGAAAGAGCAGAGCCAGACGGGGGCCUCCGGCCGUCUGGGUGCAGUUAACCCCAUAAAUGCCAACUGAAAUUUAAUGACAUGAAUGUUAAUGGCCAAUUAGAAUUUUUUUACCCUCUUUUAGCUGAUUAAUUUUGAUGAAUUAUAAUUGUAAUGUCCAAUUAGAAAUAUUUAUCUUGUUUUUGACCUAUUUAAUAUAAUAAAUUGUAAUUUUAAUGCCCAAUUUUAACUUUUGCCAAUUAGAAUUUGUAAUGAAUUUGAAUUUUUAAAGAUAGAUGUAAUUAUGUUAGCCCCUAAUUCCCUUUUUAAAUUUUAGAUGAGAUAUAUAUUUGUAAUAUUUAUGGUUUUAAUGUGAAAUCAUCCUAUUUUUAGCCCCUUAAAAUCCAAUAAUUAAUAAUGAAUCAAAAAGAAUUAGUUAUAAUAAAUGAUUAGCCUUUAAAGGUUAGGGUUAGGGGUCAGGGCUAGGGCCAGAGAGGCCAGGGUUAGGGUUAGGGCUAGGGUUAGGGCUAGGGCUAGAUCCAGGGGUUAGGGUUAGGGUUAGGGCAAGGGUUAGGGUUAGAUUUGAUCCCGAGGGUUAGGGUUAGGGUUAGGGAUAGGGUUAGGGUUAGAUUUAAUCCCCGAGGGUUAGGGUUAGGGUUAGGGAUAGGGUUAGGGUUAGAUUUAAUCCCCGAGGGUUAGGGUUAGGGUUAAGAUUCUGGUUAGGCGUUAGUUUAGGGCUAGGGGUCAGUGGUUAGGGGUCAGGGGCUAGUGAUUAGGGGUUGGUGGUUAGUGAUUAGGGGUCAGGGUUAGGCAUUGGAGCCCCUAAUCACACGUAGAUGUAUUUAGCUGUUGUUCCCGUCCAGUGCAUGUGGUCCACCCCCGACAGAAACCCGUCUCCUUUCAGAGAGUCGACGUGUGGCCAAGCUCCAGUAUGCCACAUUCUUGUCUGUGUUAAUGUGUCUUUUUGUUUUGUAUGUUACAGGUUUUGGGGGAGAGGGAGACUUUCCCUCCAAAGAGUCCAGAAACUCCCUGUCCAGCUUAGACAUGAAGUUCUGUUGUGGAGACAGAACAGGAGUUGUCUCCAGCUCCGUGUCUUGGUUUUCCCCUAUGUGUGAGUACUGUUUUGUAUUGUUUGUAGGUGUUUGUUUCUCCUCUUGUUUGUUAUGUUGUGGUUCUGUGUGUGGUGUGUGGAGUGGAGUCUGAGGUGUUUUGGUUUGUUGUGGUGUUUUUUGUUGUUGUUGUUGUGGUGGUGUUUUGUUUUGUUGUUGUUGUUGUGCUUGUGCUGACUGUGUGUUUUGUUGUGGUGUCUGCUUUAUGUUUACAGGUUUGUCCACAAUUUGUGGAUCAUCAUUUUGUCUUUUUUCCUGUGCAGCAACAGGCUCAGAAGGGGCUGCCUGUCUGUCCUGUGCUGCAUCAGGCUUCACACAAGAGGCUAUCAGAGCCUCCGCGUGGUCAAUAACCUCCUGAUUUAUGCGAGGCAAGUUCUUUUAGCCCAUCUUGUGGCCACAGUGAAGGCGCUCUUCCACUCUUGAGGUGGCUCUUUUGAAAGAUCUGCCUUUAUUUUCUCCAGCUCAGCGGUGUAGUGGUCCUGGAGAAUGAGUAGUGUAGUGUGGCCCCAGUUUUUUGCAUUUGCCAUGAUCAAAUCCAGCGUGUAGGUUGUUGGAUUUGCUGGUUUGAUCAUGGCUGCCAAAUUAUCCACCAUACGUGCAAUCAUUUUUGGAUCCUGUUUUUCAGGUCCUGGGGUCACAUUUUGUAGGUGGUGUACCAUUUUAAUGACAGUGUGUAAUUUUCUGACCCUUUGUCCAAAUUGUGGGUCAUGUACUGGUGCUUGAUGAGUACUUGGAUCAGGCAGGGAUCUGCUCUGCUGUGUGUUUUUUUGGUGGUAAUAAGGGCGUCUUUGAGGAAAUCCCCCUGGUUACGGGUGGGGUUUCCCUGGUGUAGCACAGAUGCAUAGGACCCUGAUUGAGGUCCCCAAAAUUUGGGUUGAUAAUCAGGAGGAGGUCCAGGUCUGCGGGGACGUGAGGGAGCAGAGAACCGUGGGGGAGGCACAGGCCGGUUAGGUUUAUGGAUAAAGGGGGACUGUCUCCUAGAAUAGGAGACAGUGGUGCACGGUCCAUCCCCCUGUUCCCCGUCCCCCACGACCCCGUUUGAUACUGCUGAUUAGUGCGAUACGGGCGUUGACCACGCCUUCUCCCGUAUCGCACUUCAGUCCAUUGUUCUUGGUCGUAGGUCAUGAUUGUUGUUUUAACCUUUUUAAUUAUUUAUUGUUAUUUAUUAAUGUGGUGUAUUUAUGAGACUAUUUAUUUAUUUAUUGGUCUAUCUAUCGAUGUUUUUAAACAAAAACUGUAUCAAAUGAACUGUUCUUUAUUUUUUUUUUUUUUUAUUUUUAUUUUUUUUUUUUUUUUUUUUUUUUUUUGUGCGUUUUUUUGUUUUUUGUGAAAUAAAAAUGAAAUAAAAUGAAAUAAAAGUGAGAAAACUGAAUAAAAUGUGUAUCAAAAUGAAUAAUAAGUGCCCAGUCGCGACGUUUCGACCGCUGUGGGUCUUCUUCAGGCUAUGGGCACGAAAUAAAAUAUGUCUGGGCUUGUCUGGGCUUGUCUGGGCUUGUUUGAGUCUGUUGGUGAGAUGCUUUCUCUUCAAGAGACAUAUGAGAAGUGGGAGGCUGAACUCUGUGUGCGUGAGUUUUUUAUAGGGGCGUGGGAAAGAGCAGAGCCAGACGGGGGCCUCCGGCCGUCUGGGUGCAGUUAACCCCAUAAAUGCCAACUGAAAUUUAAUGACAUGAAUGUUAAUGGCCAAUUAGAAUUUUUUUACCCUCUUUUAGCUGAUUAAUUUUGAUGAAUUAUAAUUGUAAUGUCCAAUUAGAAAUAUUUAUCUUGUUUUUGACCUAUUUAAUAUAAUAAAUUGUAAUUUUAAUGCCCAAUUUUAACUUUUGCCAAUUAGAAUUUGUAAUGAAUUUGAAUUUUUAAAGAUAGAUGUAAUUAUGUUAGCCCCUAAUUCCCUUUUUAAAUUUUGGAUGAGAUAUAUAUUUGUAAUAUUUAUGGUUUUAAUGUGAAAUCAUCCCUAUUUUUAGCCCCUUAUGAAAUCCAAUAAUUAAUAAUGAAUCAAAAAAAUUAGUUAUAAUAAAUGAUUAGCCUUUAAAGGUUAGGGUUAGGGGUCAGGGCUAGGGCCAGAGAGGCCAGGGUUAGGGUUAGGGCUAGGGUUAGGGCUAGGGCUAGAUCCAGGGGUUAGGGUUAGGGUUAGGGCAAGGGUUAGGGUUAGAUUUGAUCCCGAGGGUUAGGGUUAGGGUUAGGGAUAGGGUUAGGGUUAGAUUUAAUCCCCGAGGGUUAGGGUUAGGGUUAGGGAUAGGGUUAGGGUUAGAUUUAAUCCCCGAGGGUUAGGGUUAGGGUUAAGAUUCUGGUUAGGCGUUAGUUUAGGGCUAGGGGUCAGUGGUUAGGGGUCAGGGGCUAGUGAUUAGGGGUUGGUGGUUAGUGAUUAGGGGUCAGGGUUAGGCAUUGGAGCCCCUAAUCACACGUAGAUGUAUUUAGCUGUUGUUCCCGUCCAGUGCAUGUGGUCCACCCCUGACAGAAACCCGUCUCCUUUCAGAGAGUCGACGUGUGGCCAAGCUCCAGUAUGCCACAUUCUUGUCUGUGUUAAUGUGUCUUUUUGUUUUGUAUGUUAUAGGUUUUAGGGGAGAGGGAGACUUUCCCUCCAAAGAGUCCAGAAACUCCCUGUCCAGCUUAGACAUGAAGUUCUGUUGUGGAGACAGAACAGGAGUUGUCUCCAGCUCCGUGUCUUGGUUUUCCCCUAUGUGUGAGUACUGUUUUGUAUUGUUUGUAGGUGUUUGUUUCUCCUCUUGUUUGUUAUGUUGUGGUUCUGUGUGUGGUGUGUGGAGUGGAGUCUGAGGUGUUUUGGUUUGUUGUGGUGUUUUUUGUUGUUGUUGUUGUGGUGGUGUUUUGUUUUGUUGUUGUUGUUGUGCUUGUGCUGACUGUGUGUUUUGUUGUGGUGUCUGCUUUAUGUUUACAGGUUUGUCCACAAUUUGUGGACCAUCAUUUUGCUGUUUUUCCUGUGCAGCAACAGGCUCAGAAGGGGCUGCCUGUCUGUCCUGUGCUGCAUCAGGCUUCACACAAGAGGCUAUCAGAGCCUCCGCGUGGUCAAUAACCUCCU